GUUAUUUUGGCAGAUUAGUGCUAUAAAUUUAGGAUUUAUAUAUGUAAUUAUAUUACAAAUAAUA
RNAcentral lists this transfer RNA (64 nucleotides) under Megaxyela euchroma. Its description in RNAcentral is "tRNA-Leu". The record is from RNAcentral. Lineage: Eukaryota; Metazoa; Arthropoda; Insecta; Hymenoptera; Xyelidae.